Molecule: unclassified non-coding RNA, 310 nt
Filed under: plant metagenome
Description: partial contains 5.8S ribosomal RNA, internal transcribed spacer 2, and large subunit ribosomal RNA
Rfam family: 5.8S ribosomal RNA (bases 1-105)
Source: RNAcentral
GAAAUGCGAUAAGUAGUGUGAAUUGCAGAAUUCAGUGAAUCAUCGAAUCUUUGAACGCACAUUGCGCCCCUUGGUAUUCCAUGGGGCAUGCCUGUUCGAGCGUCAUUUGUACCCUCAAGCUCUGCUUGGUGUUGGGUGUUUGUCCCCGUCUCCGCGCGUGGACUCGCCCCAAAGUGAUUAGCAGCCGGCGUACUGGUCCCGGAGCGCAGCACAUGUCGCGCAAACGAGUGCCUUGGUACGGCGGCGUCCAUAAGCCCCUCUCUCACGCUCUUGACCUCGGAUCAGGUAGGGAUACCCGCUGAACUUAAGC